Molecule: ribosomal RNA, 462 nt
Filed under: Nocardia asteroides NBRC 15531
Lineage: Bacteria; Bacillati; Actinomycetota; Actinomycetes; Mycobacteriales; Nocardiaceae
Description: bacterial SSU rRNA
Rfam family: Bacterial small subunit ribosomal RNA
Source: RNAcentral
GACGAACGCUGGCGGCGUGCUUAACACAUGCAAGUCGAGCGGUAAGGCCCUUCGGGGUACACGAGCGGCGAACGGGUGAGUAACACGUGGGUGAUCUGCCUCGUACUUCGGGAUAAGCCUGGGAAACUGGGUCUAAUACCGGAUAUGACCUUCGGAUGCAUGUCUGAGGGUGGAAAGAUUUAUCGGUACGAGAUGGGCCCGCGGCCUAUCAGCUUGUUGGUGGGGUAAUGGCCUACCAAGGCGACGACGGGUAGCCGGCCUGAGAGGGCGACCGGCCACACUGGGACUGAGACACGGCCCAGACUCCUACGGGAGGCAGCAGUGGGGAAUAUUGCACAAUGGGCGAAAGCCUGAUGCAGCGACGCCGCGUGAGGGAUGACGGCCUUCGGGUUGUAAACCUCUUUCGACAGGGACGAAGCGCAAGUGACGGUACCUGUAGAAGAAGCACCGGCCAACUACGUG